GUCAGUCCAUUGCCUGUGUGGUGGCAGCUUCCCAGGAAGGAAGAAGCGUUGUCUGCAGAUCGCCUAUCGGUCGGCUUUCCUGUGUCGGAGCGGUGGUUUUCCGGGGAUGGCUGCCACCCCCGUGAUUCCCAGCUGCCUGGAAACUUGGACCCUGCUCCCACAGAGAUCUAGUGCUUUCCAUAACAUGAUGCGCAGCUGUUACCUCUUCUCUACUCUGAACUGCCUGGCUUCCAGAUGUGCAGACCAAAGCGAGAGAUUUGACAUGGACUCGUCCUAGACCAGUGGUUCUCAGCUGUUCUUAUGAGCAAUCCUUUAACACAGUCCCUCCUGUUGUAGUAACCCUCAACCAUAAAAUAAUUCCCAUCGCUACUU
This is a long non-coding RNA of Mus musculus (house mouse), 372 nucleotides long. RefSeq annotates it as predicted gene, 41062. NCBI's taxonomy places the organism in Eukaryota, Metazoa, Chordata, Mammalia, Rodentia, Muridae. The record is from RefSeq and is marked validated. The transcript is spliced from 2 exons.